This 2264-nucleotide long non-coding RNA is filed under the name Apteryx owenii (little spotted kiwi). RNAcentral describes it as "lncRNA (ENSAOWG00000013395.1)". The record is from RNAcentral. Lineage: Eukaryota; Metazoa; Chordata; Aves; Apterygiformes; Apterygidae.
GCUGAUGCCCUGCUGAAAUAAGACCUUCACUGUAAUCCCAUCUCCAGUCUAACAUGCUGUUACCAGUUGUUCCAUAUCUUGCUUUUUCCACUCAAAGAAACCAUAUUUUAUGGCCCCCACCACCAACAGUCUCUGAGGCUGCUUUCUAUGCAUGCAGUGAAGAAAGCUCAUCCUCCUGCUAGAUUUCUGUCUCUGUUGCAGUUUAACUGCAGCGUUCUCCCCCUCCCUGCCAUGACUUUGUCUAUUUUCCUCAAGACUUUAGGCUGCAAAACACACCGCUCGCUCUCCAAGUCUUUGUUUUGCUCAGCGUGAGGGCACUGGGGCUCAUGCAGCAGACUCCCGUGGGGAUUUAUGUUUAUACCUGUGACUAACGCAGCCACUUCUUGCCGACUAGUUUUGCUCCAGACUUCUCUAACUGACUGUUCAAAAGCUCUGUGCAAGUACCACAGGCACCUGUACAGCCCCYUCCUCUGCCUGGCUUCACGGUACAAGUUAGGGAACCCAUUAGCACUUGCAUUUUAAACUUAGUUAACUGCUGCUAGGCUCCACCAAAGUUAAGUAUUCCCUGUAAUACUGAGUUGAGCUACAGAAUAUAAAGGAGCACUUUAAUUUGCUAUCAUUUGAGAGCUUUAAAUUGAAAGUAUCUACUAGGUUAAAGCUGUACUUUGAGAUAAAGAAGAUAAAAUAAACUGAAUAAAUAAAACAGGAACGCUUSCUUGUUCUCUUUUGCAACAAAACUCUUCUUACCUUAGUCUCAGUCCUCAGGGUCUCUGUACUUUGGGAAAAAUCUCAUGUGUAUCAGCUGCUGCUAUUAUAGGUUAUUACUGGCACACACAUGUAAAAUAUUUACAUGAUGAUAAUACCCUACAGGCAGGCUUCACCUCCACGCAAAGAGAAUCAAAAAGACACGAAAAGUUGAUAACCAAGAAAGAUGUACCAAGCUCGGGAAGGAAACUGAACCUCGCGACAAGAGAAAAAGGAAGCGCUGGAACGGGCAGGUCGGAGGCAGCUGGAGAGGGGAGGCAGCCUGCAGAAAACACGGCAAAACCUGACGAUGGCAGAGGUAACAGGCUGUUAAGGAAAGUUAACAAAAAAUGGAAAACUAUGCUAAAACGAGCUCCAGGGGCCAGAUGGCAAGUUAAGAAGCUGGGGGAGGGGAAGGAUUCAACAAAAGAAGGACAAAAAAGUGAACUGGGGAAUAAGCGAACGCAGCAUUGUGUUAGGAGGAGGCAGCUAGCCAGCUGCAGAGGCAAGCGAGCUCCUAGUUAUCUCACCGUGUUGACUACAGAAACAGACUUCAAAUGACGCAGUGUCUAUAAACAGAGGGGAGGAAUUAGUUCCCRUUCUGGUAGUUGUGUCUAUGACCCUAAAAGCCUUGUGGCGUGCAUGCAUCAGGAAUUCAGUUCCUGAGGGCACCGGCAGUGCUACUGCGUAGCUGAGACAACUCUGAGCAGUAGCAAAAAGUCCAUAGAAUAAGCACUUGCUUAUUACUGCAGAAAUUUGGUACUGCAAUUAUAAAUGUUGCUCAUAAAGUUGGAUACACCAUUACUCCAAACAAAUGUAGAACAUAAGAAUCAAGUCACUUGCAGUGUUAACAGACUAAAUAKACUGUUUCUUCAUCAGAUAUGAAUUUGAUUCAACAGUAAACAAAAGAUCUCAGAUUGUGCUGUUUCAAUCAUACUGAUGGAACCGGACAGUUACUUUGAUGCACUAUUCCACUGUGUUCAUUUUUGUUAAAAGAUGUAUCAGAAAAGCCUUGUUCACAUGCUGAUUUGCUUCUUCAAACAGCACUGCUGUUUCCUCCAUAACAUUUUCUCUUUCUGGUCUUUUCCCUGCUGGUCUGAGUAAUUAGUUCUCUGGGGAUAUCAAGUCUUUUCUUGCUUACUAGCAUUGGAACAGGGAAUAUCUGAACUAAUCCCAUGGUACCAACGAUAAUGCUUCUUUUGACAUAUAGGAGAUCCUUUAUGGAGCAUUAUAUGACCCUUACUGUGGACAAACACAUGUCAGAUGUAGUAUGUGAGGCAUUUACAAGCUCCAGCUAAAUCAGUUUAUGUUUAUCACUCAGUAGAGCAGGACUUUCACAGUGGUAUCUAUUUAGCAAUCCCGCCUGAUCAAAGUUUCUAUGUAAAGAGCAGAAUGCCAGUGUGGAAGUGAGCUCCAUACUUGUGCUUGUGUGGCCAUAGCAGAUGAUCUAUGGUUUUGUAUGACUUCAGUCAUACAGAAAAAAAAUGCAAAACAGAAUAAAUCUGAGAGUCACCAGGACA